AACGCGAAGAACCUUACCUACCCUUGACAUGUACGGAACCCUGCUGAGAGGUGGGGGUGCCCGAAAGGGAGCCGUAACACAGGUGCUGCACGGCUGUCGUCAGCUCGUGUCGUGAGAUGUUGGGUUAAGUCCCGCAACGAGCGCAACCCUUGUCCCUAGUUGCUACGCAAGAGCACUCCAGGGAGACUGCCGGUGACAAACCGGAGGAAGGUGGGGAUGACGUCAAGUCCUCAUGGCCCUUAUGGGUAGGGCUUCACACGUCAUACAAUGGUCGGAACAGAGGGUUGCGAAGCCGCGAGGUGGAGCCAAUCCCAGAAAACCGAUCGUAGUCCGGAUCGCAGUCUGCAACUCGACUGCGUGAAGCUGGAAUCGCUAGUAAUCGCGGAUCAGCAUGCCGCGGUGAAUACGUUCCCGGGUCUUGUACACACGC
RNAcentral lists this ribosomal RNA (430 nucleotides) under uncultured bacterium. Its description in RNAcentral is "bacterial SSU rRNA". It matches the Rfam family "Bacterial small subunit ribosomal RNA", at positions 958 to 1393 of the family's 1533-position model. The record is from RNAcentral.